CGGUGUUUAACUGGCGUGAUGUGGGACGUCCUACCGGUGGGCUUAGCCUCGCGAGGGGCGGCCCAACUAAUAUCCCGUCGCGGUGCUCUUUACUGAGUGUCGAGUCGGGCCGGUACGUUUACUUUGAACAAAUUAGAGUGCUUAAAGCAGGCUAUCCUCGCCUGAAUACUGCGUGCAUGGAAUAAUGGAAUAGGACCUCGGUUCUAUUUUGUUGGUUUUCGGAACCCCGAGGUAAUGAUUAAUAGGGACAGAUGGGGGCAUUCGUAUUGCGACGUUAGAGGUGAAAUUCUUGGAUCGUCGCAAGACGGACAGAAGCGAAAGCAUUUGCCAAAAAUGUUUUCAUUAAUCAAGAACGAAAGUUAGAGGUUCGAAGGCGAUCAGAUACCGCCCUAGUUCUAACCAUAAACGAUGCCAGCUAGGCGAUCCGCCGAAGUUCCUCCGAUGACUCGGCGGGCAGCUUCCGGGAAACCAAAGCUUUUGGGUUCCGGGGGAAGUAUGGUUGCAAAGCUGAAACUUAAAGGAAUUGACGGAAGGGCACCACCAGGAGUGGAGCCUGCGGCUUAAUUUGACUCAACACGGGAAACCUCACCAGGCCCAGACACCGGAAGGAUUGACAGAUUGAUAGCUCUUUCUUGAUUCGGUGGGUGGUGGUGCAUGGCCGUUCUUAGUUGGUGGAGCGAUUUGUCUGGUUAAUUCCGAUAACGAACGAGACUCUAGCCUGCUAAAUAGGCGUACCUUAUGGUAUCGCGAAGGCCCCCGGCUUCGGCCGGUGGGUUUUUACUACCAACGUACAAACAAAUCUUCUUAGAGGGACAGGCGG
This 820-nucleotide ribosomal RNA is filed under the name uncultured eukaryote. RNAcentral describes it as "SSU rRNA". It matches the Rfam family "Eukaryotic small subunit ribosomal RNA", at positions 629 to 1426 of the family's 1831-position model. The record is from RNAcentral.